AUACGUAGGGUGCGAGCGUUAAUCGGAAUUACUGGGCGUAAAGGGUGCGCAGGCGGCCUUGUAAGUCAGAUGUGAAAGCCCCGGGCUUAACCUGGGAAUUGCGUUUGAAACUACAAAGCUAGAGUGCAACAGAGGGGAGUGGAAUUCCAUGUGUAGCAGUGAAAUGCGUAGAGAUGUGGAAGAACACCGAUGGCGAAGGCAGCUCCCUGGGUUGACACUGACGCUCAUGCACGAAAGCGUGGGGAGCAAACAGGAUUAGAUACCCUGGUAGUCCACGCCCUAAACUAUGUCAACUAGUUGUCGGAUCUAAUUAAGGAUUUGGUAACGUAGCUAACGCGUGAAGUGGACCGCCUGGGGAGUACGAUCGCAAGAUUAAA
RNAcentral lists this ribosomal RNA (377 nucleotides) under uncultured bacterium. RNAcentral's name for it is "bacterial SSU rRNA". It matches the Rfam family "Bacterial small subunit ribosomal RNA", at positions 523 to 898 of the family's 1533-position model. The record is from RNAcentral.